UACAGAGGUCUCAACCGUUGUUCGGAUUCAUUGGGCGUAAAGGGUGCGUAGGCGGCGGAGUAAGUCAGGUGUGAAAUCUCGGGGCUCAACCCCGAAACUGCACUUGAUACUGCUUCGCUCGAGUACUGGAGAGGAGACUGGAAUUUACGGUGUAGCAGUGAAAUGCGUAGAUAUCGGGAGGAACACCAGUGGCGAAGGCGACUACCUGGCCUGUUCUUGACGCUGAGGCGCGAAAGCUAGGGGAGCAAACGGG
RNAcentral lists this ribosomal RNA (253 nucleotides) under uncultured bacterium. RNAcentral describes it as "partial 16S ribosomal RNA". It matches the Rfam family "Bacterial small subunit ribosomal RNA", at positions 524 to 776 of the family's 1533-position model. The record is from RNAcentral.